Molecule: ribosomal RNA, 253 nt
Filed under: uncultured bacterium
Lineage: Bacteria
Description: partial 16S ribosomal RNA
Rfam family: Bacterial small subunit ribosomal RNA
Source: RNAcentral
UACGUAGGUGGCAAGCGUUGUCCGGAUUUAUUGGGUUUAAAGGGUGCGUAGGCGGUCUAUUAAGUCAGUGGUGAAAGCUCCAUGCUUAACAUGGAAAUUGCCAUUGAUACUGAUGAGCUUGAGUAGAUUUGAAGUGGGCGGAAUGUGUCGUGUAGCGGUGAAAUGCUUAGAUAUGACACAGAACACCGAUUGCGUAGGCAGCUCACUAAACUCUUACUGACGCUGAGGCACGAAAGCAUGGGGAUCAAACAGG